AAGUCGUAACAAGGUUUCCGUCGGAAGGAUCAUUAACACGUAACGUUAAAUCCCGACGUUUACAGCCGCUGGGUUCACGCAAGACGCAUCCGCAUGGUUUAACGCCGCAAGGUCUUAACGGCGACUGAAAGGUUGCCGACUUUGUGCUUCGUAGCGUGUACGCCGAUUAUCGCGGGCUUGCUUGUAAUUCGUUUCUGUUGUUGUGUUUAGCAGGAAGAGCUGGAAGAAGUUUCCGGAGCCGAAAUUCACUUGGGGAAGAGCCGGAAGAAGUUUUCGGUGACCUGGACCAGCACAAUAUUUCAAUGGCAAGCUCGGGUUAUGGUUUGAGACGGUGGGUUCUAUCCAAGAUUCACUUAAUUGAAGUCUUAAUGACCCAAAAACAUAUGGUUAACAAUGGAUAUAUCUUGGUUCUC
This 413-nucleotide unclassified non-coding RNA is filed under the name fungal sp. RNAcentral describes it as "partial internal transcribed spacer region". The record is from RNAcentral. Lineage: Eukaryota; Fungi.